Molecule: long non-coding RNA, 755 nt
Filed under: Phoenix dactylifera (date palm)
Lineage: Eukaryota; Viridiplantae; Streptophyta; Magnoliopsida; Arecales; Arecaceae
Description: long non-coding RNA (PDAC_LNC017984)
Source: RNAcentral
GCUAUGUUUUGGUUUACCCUCAUUCACGACAUUACGUUGUGUACGGGAUAUUCUGGAUAUGGUGGAUUUUGUACGAAGGUUGUGAGUAGGUCAACAAGGAAUCAGUCACUUCUAGUAAGAGAAGGUAACAUCCUACUUACUCUAAUCUUAUGAUGAUUCACGAAGCCUUUGAUCAAAGCAAAAUGAAUAUUAGAAAGAGUUUCUAAUGUUUCAUUGUUUGAAUUAUCAUAUAAAAGAUUGAGAGAGACAUGAAUAAGUGAUUGAGUUUGAUAUUGAUCCAUACUCGAGCACUUAUUCAGGAUGUAGUGUGACUGAGGGAUUGAAUUGCAUAGUAACUUUCCACUGAAGGGUAUGUUUGGAUUUGUCCAAUACAUUCCUCAUCUUCCGGGUAGACAUGAUACGUUGCUAGACGUCAAUCAUGUCUUGUGGGUUGAUCGGAUCAAAGAGUUUGAUUAGAUCAAAGCAUCAGAAAGGUUCUGAUUGCUAAGUCAGGUUUAGCACUAAAUUGAACCUAAAUUGGAUUAGAGGUAUUCUAAUCAGGUUAGGUCAACUUGCACCUGCACCUACUGCUGGCUAAGAUAAGGAACCCAAUGGGUCACACACAAGGGAAUUGAUCAAGGGUCUAAUUGGAUUAAAUCAUGUUUGCAAGAUGAACAUGCUAGCACGUGUUGCAAACCCUAGCUCCUGAUUCAAAUUAAAUUCGAAUAUGAUUCUUAGAUUUGGUUGAUCUAAUAUGAUUAGAUCAUGACCUAAUA